Molecule: ribosomal RNA, 417 nt
Filed under: uncultured microorganism
Description: bacterial SSU rRNA
Rfam family: Archaeal small subunit ribosomal RNA
Source: RNAcentral
GCGCAGCAGGCGAGAAACCUCCUCAAUGCACUCACGUGCGAAGGGGUUACCUCGAGUGCCGCCUGAAGAAGGCGGCUUUUCCAUGGUCUAAAAAGCCUAGGGAAUAAGAGGGGGCAAGACUGGUGUCAGCCGCCGCGGUAACACCAGCCCCUCGAGUGGUGGGGAUGAUUAUUUGGCCUAAAGCGUCCGUAGCCGGCCGGGUAAGUCUCCCGUUAAAAUCCAGCGUCUCAGGCGUUGGACUGCGGGAGAUACUGUCUGGCUAGAGAGUGGGAGAGGUGUACCGGUAUUCGUGGGGUAGGGGCGAAAGUCCUUUGAUCCCCGGAGGACCACCGAGUGGCGAAGGCGUGUACACUAGAACACGUCUGACGGUCAGGGACGAAAGCUGGGGGUAGCGAACCGGAUUAGAGUACCCCGUGU